GUGAGUCAUCGAGUCUUUGAACGCACCUUGCACUUUUUGGAGUCUAUCCAAAAGUAUACCUGUUUGAGUAUCAUAAACAUUUAUCCAAGCAAUUGGGAUUUGAGGCUCAGUCGUCUGACGGCUGUUCCUUUAAAUGCAGUGAGGAUAUGGGUAGGCAGUGGCUUAUUUCCCAGUGAGGAUGUUUACAUUCGUGUAAAAUAAUCGCGAGGUUGUAGGAUCGUUGACUAUUCGAGUAUAUUCUCUGACUGCAUCGCAAGAUGCAAUUCUGUACAAAUGUGAUCUCAAAUCAAGGCAAGACUACCCGCCGAACUUAAGCAUAUCAAUAAGCGGAGG
Molecule: ribosomal RNA, 333 nt
Filed under: uncultured fungus
Lineage: Eukaryota; Fungi
Description: eukaryotic LSU rRNA
Rfam family: 5.8S ribosomal RNA (bases 1-73)
Source: RNAcentral